AUGGAAAAUUCAGCAUUGCAACAUCUGUCAAAAUACAACUCUUUGCAAGCAUUACAACUUUGUUUACACAGAAUAUCAUUUCCGUUGAAACCAAAGCAUUUACAUCAUCUGAGAUACCUAGAUCUCUCAAGAAGUUGUAUCAAAGCACUUCCCGAUGAUAUAAGCAUUAUGUACAACCUGCAAACUCUGAACCUCUCUGGUUGCAUAUAUCUUGGUGGACUUCCAAGACAACUGAAGUAUAUGACGACGCUCCGUCACCUUUACACUCAUGGUUGCUCACAGCUGAAGAGCAUGCCUAGAGAGCUCGGAAAGCUCACAUGCCUACAGACACUUACAUGCUUUGUAGCAGGCAGUGAGCCUGAUUGUAGUAAUGUUGGAGAGCUUGGGAAAUUAAACCUUGGUGGUCAACUAGAGCUACAGAAUCUAGAGAACGUCACAGCAAAAGAUGCAGCAGUGGCAAACCUCGUGAACAAGGAACUAAGAGAUCUGACAUUAAGAUGGUCUGCUGGAGAGACUGAAGAUGAUUCAAGAGUGCUCGAGAAUCUCAAACCUCAUGAUGGGUUGCAUGCUAUAAGGAUACACUUCUAUGGAUCCACCACGUUCCCAACAUGGGUGGCUAUGUUACAAAACAUUGUUGAGAUCCAUCUUUUUGAUUGUAGAAAACUACAAUGGUUGUUCAGCCAUGACUGUGAUACAACCUUCGCAUUUCCAAAACUAAAGCAUCUUACAUUGGAAGGUCUUGUCUGUUUGGAGAGAUGGUGGGAAAUAGGUAAUGGUGGGAUGCAAGAAGAGAUCAUGUUUCCUCUGCUUGAGAAGUUGCUUAUUGAGGACUGUAAAAAGUUGACAGCACUGCCAGGACAACCGACCUUCCCUAACCUCCAGGAGGCCAUUAUUCUGGAUUGUCCAAGGUUGACAACUGUAGCUAAAUCACCAAAGCUCAGUUUAUUACUCAUCGCAGGACGUGAGGACCAGUUGUUGCUAUGGGUAGCUAGACAUAUGACUUCAUUGGCCGAGCUGACACUGUUUUGCCGUAAGGACAAUACAGAAACAACCCUGGCGGCGGCUGAGGAUGGUUUUAAGGAAGUGGUGGACGGUAAGGAAGAAUGGAAUGGUCAUGAUCUCCCUCUUGCAGUUUUGAAAUUAUGUCACUUUAAAUCAGUUCUACCAGGGAUGUUUGCAUGUUUCGUACACCUUCAAGAUUUAUCAAUUAUGUCAUGUGAUGCGCUCGUUCACUGGCCAGAAAGAGAGUUCCAAGCAUUGGUAUCCUUGAAGAGGCUUGAGAUCAAGUAUUGCAGUAAUCUGACUGGAUAUGCACCUGCCGAGCCAUCAACAUCAGCAGAAACGAGUCAGCUCCUGCCAUGUCUAGAGUAUAUGUAUAUAUCUGAUUGCAACAGCUUGGUUGAGGUCUUCAACAUCUCUGCAUCUCUCAGGUAUAUUGAAAUUUGUUGUUGCAGUAAGCUUGAGUCCCCAUUCGGCAGGAGGCUGCAGCAGGGUCAGUUAGCACCAUGGAUUCAUCAAGGGUCAUCUAGUGUACUGGAGGUGUCAUCAUCAUCAUCACCCAGAGCGGGGCCGAAGCAUUUACAAGUAAAUUUACACAGGUGUGCUGGCUUAACAGGGCUCCUCCAUCUUCCCCCGUCCCUCAAGCGAAUAGCAAUUUCUUAUUGUGAUGGGUUGACGUCUCUGGAAGCUCCCUCAGGAGUGCUCUCAUGGCUGGAGAGCCUUCAGCUUUAUGAAUGCAAUACCCUAUCAUCCCUACCGGAUGCUCAAGCAUACUCAUCUCUCCGAUGUCUUGACAUUGACGACUGCCCUGGUCUGAAAACGCUCCCUGCAAGCCUGCAGCAACGACUGGGCAGCCUCGAGUGGGAAAGAAUAGAUGCCCAUCAUUAUGGAAAUAAGCCUGUGCUGCUGAAACCCAAGACAUGGAAAUAUGCCAUCCGUAAAGACUAG
Molecule: ribosomal RNA, 1947 nt
Filed under: Triticum aestivum (bread wheat)
Lineage: Eukaryota; Viridiplantae; Streptophyta; Magnoliopsida; Poales; Poaceae
Description: partial small subunit ribosomal RNA
Source: RNAcentral